RNAcentral lists this unclassified non-coding RNA (365 nucleotides) under Hevea brasiliensis (rubber tree). The record is from RNAcentral. Lineage: Eukaryota; Viridiplantae; Streptophyta; Magnoliopsida; Malpighiales; Euphorbiaceae.
AACCCUAUCCACCGUUCUCGGCAGGUAAAUUCUUAAUCUAUUAAUCAAUCGGUUGAUUUGGUAAUUGAGGUAUCAAAUGUUCCAUUAGCAUGCUUUUUCUCCACUGCACCUCUCUUUUGUAACGAUACUCAAUUGAGGUUUCAAUCAAUUGCUCGUUUCCUCUUUUCUUCCUUUUGCUUUCAAUCACAAAUCAAAACCAAUGUGCAGCUUUAUAUGCUUGGAAUAUCUUCGAUGAAGUUUACAUCCACGCCUAACUUAAACAGCAAAGUUUUCUUUUCUUCCCGUUCUUAAUUAUCUAUGCGGCAAUUUCUUCCCGUUCAGGAAAUUCUUAGCUAAAAUCACCUGGGUUACAUCCUCGACGCAUG